RNAcentral lists this ribosomal RNA (484 nucleotides) under uncultured bacterium. RNAcentral's name for it is "partial 16S ribosomal RNA". It matches the Rfam family "Bacterial small subunit ribosomal RNA", at positions 29 to 507 of the family's 1533-position model. The record is from RNAcentral.
AUUGAACGCUGGCGGCAUGCUUUACACAUGCAAGUCGAACGGCAGCGCGGGCUUCGGCCUGGCGGCGAGUGGCGAACGGGUGAGUAAUGCAUCGGAACGUGCCCAGUAGUGGGGGAUAGCCCGGCGAAAGCCGGAUUAAUACCGCAUACGACCUGAGGGUGAAAGCGGGGGACCGAAAGGCCUCGCGCUAUUGGAGCGGCCGAUGUCGGAUUAGCUAGUUGGUGGGGUAAAGGCUUACAAAGGCGACGAUCCGUAGCUGGUCUGAGAGGACGACCAGCCACACUGGGACUGAGACACGGCCCAGACUCCUACGGGAGGCAGCAGUGGGGAAUUUUGGACAAUGGGGGCAACCCUUAUCCAGCCAUGCCGCGUGCGGGAAGAAGGCCUUCGGGUUGUAAACCGCUUUUGUUCGGGAAGAAAUCCUCUGGGCUAAUACCCCGGGGGGAUGACGGUACCGGAAGAAUAAGCACCGGCUAACUACGUG